This 468-nucleotide ribosomal RNA is filed under the name uncultured bacterium. Its description in RNAcentral is "partial 16S ribosomal RNA". It matches the Rfam family "Bacterial small subunit ribosomal RNA", at positions 28 to 507 of the family's 1533-position model. The record is from RNAcentral.
GACGAACGCUGGCGGCGUGCUUAACACAUGCAAGUCGAACGGAAAGGCCCUGCUUUUGUGGGGUGCUCGAGUGGCGAACGGGUGAGUAACACGUGAGUAACCUGCCCUGGACUUUGGGAUAACUGCAGGAAACUGGUGCUAAUACCGGAUAGGAGCGCCUGCUGCAUGGGGGGGGUUGGAAAGUUUCGGCGGCUGGGGAUGGACUCGCGGCUUAUCAGCUUGUUGGUGGGGUAGUGGCUUACCAAGGCUUUGACGGGUAGCCGGCCUGAGAGGGUGACCGGCCACAUUGGGACUGAGAUACGGCCCAGACUCCUACGGGAGGCAGCAGUGGGGAAUAUUGCACAAUGGGCGGAAGCCUGAUGCAGCAACGCCGCGUGCGGGAUGACGGCCUUCGGGUUGUAAACCGCUUUCGCCUGUGACGAAGCGUGAGUGACGGUAAUGGGUAAAGAAGCACCGGCUAACUACGUG